AGUGAACGCUGGCGGCAGGCCUAACACAUGCAAGUCGAGCGGCAGCGCGGGGGCAACCCUGGCGGCGAGCGGCGGACGGGUGAGGAAUUCGUCGGAAUCUGCCUUUUUGUGGGGGAUAACGUAGGGAAACUUACGCUAAUACCGCAUACGUCCUACGGGAGAAAGUGGGGGACCGCAAGGCCUCACGCAGAAAGAUGAGCCGACGACCGAUUAGCUAGUUUGUGGGGUAAAGGCCCACCAAGGCGACGAUCGGUAGCUGGUCUGAGAGGAUGAUCAGCGACACUAGGACUGAGACACGGCCCAGACUCCUACGGGAGGCAGCAGUGGGGAAUAGUGGACAAUGGGCGCAGGCCUGAUCCAGCCAUGCCGCGUGUGUGAAGAAGGCCUUCGGGUUGUAAAGCACUUUUGUCCGGAAAGAAAUCCCUGGAGCUAAUACCUUCGGGGGAUGACGGUACCGGAAGAAUAAGCACCGGCUAACUUCGUG
This 484-nucleotide ribosomal RNA is filed under the name uncultured bacterium. RNAcentral's name for it is "partial 16S ribosomal RNA". It matches the Rfam family "Bacterial small subunit ribosomal RNA", at positions 29 to 507 of the family's 1533-position model. The record is from RNAcentral.